GGGUUAUGAGUCGUUCAGUAUAGGUCAGGGUUAUGAGUCGUUCAGUGCAGUAUAGGUUAGGGUUAUGAGUCGUUCAGUGUAGGUCAGGGUUAUGAGUCGUUUAGUGCAGUAUAGGUUAGGGUUAUGAGUCGUUCAGUAUAGGUUAGGGUUAUGAGUCGUUCAGUGCAGUACAGGUUAGGGUUAUGAGUCGUUCAGUGCAGUAUAGGUUAGGGUUAUGAGUCGUUCAGUAUAGGUUAGGGUUAUGAGUCGUUCAGUGCAGUAUAGGUUAGGGUUAUGAGUCGUUCAGUAUAGGUUAGGGUUAUGUGUCGUUCGGUAUAGGUUAGGGUUAUGAGUCGUUCAGUGCAGUAUAGGUUAGGGUUAUGAGUCAUUCAGUGCAGUGUAGGUUAGGGUUAUGAGUCGUUCAGUAUAGGUUAGGGUUAUGAGUCGUUCAGUAUAGGUUAGGGUUAUGAGUCGUUCAGUGCAGUGUAGGUUAGGGUUAUGAGUCGUUCAGUGCAGUA
This is a long non-coding RNA of Oncorhynchus tshawytscha (Chinook salmon), 497 nucleotides long. Lineage: Eukaryota; Metazoa; Chordata; Actinopteri; Salmoniformes; Salmonidae. The record is from Ensembl.